This 450-nucleotide ribosomal RNA is filed under the name uncultured bacterium. Its description in RNAcentral is "partial 16S ribosomal RNA". It matches the Rfam family "Bacterial small subunit ribosomal RNA", at positions 354 to 796 of the family's 1533-position model. The record is from RNAcentral.
GUGGGGAAUUUUGGACAAUGGGCGCAAGCCUGAUCCAGCAAUGCCGCGUGCAGGAAGAAGGCCUUCGGGUUGUAAACUGCUUUUGUACGGAACGAAACGGUCCGGGUUAAUACCCUGGGCUAAUGACGGUACCGUAAGAAUAAGCACCGGCUAACUACGUGCCAGCAGCCGCGGUAAUACGUAGGGUGCAAGCGUUAAUCGGAAUUACUGGCCGUAAAGCGUGCGCAGGCGGUUUUGUAAGACAGGCGUGAAAUCCCCGGGCUCAACCUGGUAAUUGCGCUUGUGACUGCAAGGCUGGAGUGUGGCAGAGGGGGAUGGAAUUCCGCGUGUAGCAGUGAAAUGCGUAGAUAUGCGGAGGAACACCGAUGGCGAAGGCAAUCCCCUGGGCCUGCACUGACGCUCAUGCACGAAAGCGUGGGGAGCAAACAGGAUUAGAUACCCGAGUAGUCC